Molecule: long non-coding RNA, 716 nt
Filed under: Trifolium pratense (red clover)
Lineage: Eukaryota; Viridiplantae; Streptophyta; Magnoliopsida; Fabales; Fabaceae
Description: long non-coding RNA (TPRA_LNC008084)
Source: RNAcentral
UAAGCAUGUAUAUAAGUGAUUAUGAUACAUCUCAAUGCUAUUGCUAUUUAGUACUGGUAUUUUAUGUAUAGAGCCAUUUAAGUUAAACUUGAACUAAAUAUUCCAACCAUUAAUCAAUUUGAAAAGACACCAUGAGUUGAAUGUAACAGCCCCCGGGCCCCAUCAUGGCGAUCCCGGAGCUGCCACCUCACGAUCUUCUCUACCCCCCUCACUAGUAGAGUUUUUGCCUUCCGUGGGAAUCGAACCACGUACCCUGGGGUUCAAAUACGUGUUCAAUCCAUUCCCACUACCAAAAAUAAUAUAUAGCAAACAAAAAAAUGCACAUAGACUAAAAUAUAUCCAGAAUGCCACAAGCUUGUUUUGUUUUAAACUUAAUUCUCUUCUCACCAAUGGAAAAAUUAAUAAUCAAAAUUAGAAUUUGUUUUCAUGGAUACGUUAGGUACAACAAAUGCAUUUCCCAUUUAUGCAGGAACCACCGGAUAUAAGUUCAUUCUUCUCAAUGCACACAAGUUUACAAAAAAGGCUAUCUAUUAUAUUAUUGCAUGGUAAUUUGUACCUAAGCAAUCUUAUCUCACAUGCCUCAAUCUGCAUCACCGCUUCUUCUACAAUUUUCAAAGGAAACAAAAUAUUUUUUUGUUAAUUUAAUUAAGCAAUAUAUUUACACUUGUUAGUAAAAUUCUUAUAUUUAUUUUAUUGCUACACAAAUUAUUAUAUAG